AUGGUGUUUUAACACCCAGCUAUACUAAGGGCUGUAACAGAUUAUUCUGUUGGGACUACCGCAAUCCUAAGCCCUUAGUUUUGCU
Molecule: non-coding RNA, 85 nt
Filed under: unclassified sequences
Description: RT-8 RNA
Rfam family: RT-8 RNA
About the family: Proteobacteria. Nearby to self-splicing intron genes
Source: Rfam by way of RNAcentral